This is a non-coding RNA of Oryctolagus cuniculus (rabbit), 1670 nucleotides long. The record is from RefSeq and is a predicted model, not a curated record. Lineage: Eukaryota; Metazoa; Chordata; Mammalia; Lagomorpha; Leporidae.
GAAGAGAAGCAGCAGCAGCAGAGGCUGAUCUGAAACAUUCACAAGGAGUUCCUGUGAAUACUGAGGCAUUUGGACUUCAUCCUAAGCAGAAAGCAAAGGACUCCCUGAUCCUAGGAGACAAUGGAGCCAUGAGAUGAAAAAAGUCUUCAUGUCAUCAUUUGGAAAAUAAUUGCUCAGAAGACCCACUAGACAAAGAGCCUUCAUGUAGAACUAUUGUCUGACUCUGAAGGCUAGAAGCCCAGGACCAAGAUGCCAGGAAAAUCCAUGUCUAGUGAGGAUUUGCUCUCUGUUUCCAAGAUGGCACCUUGUUGCAGAUGGAAGACGCUAUUGGUGACAGCAGCAGAGUGACAACCCAGAAGGGCAGAUGGCAGGAACCAUGGUCCCAGCAAAGGAACUCUGACCCAGUGAGAGAGAAAGACAAGAUAUUUUGACCACCACUUACAAGGGUGACAACACAGGGGUCAUCAAUCAAAGCAUACUUGUGAAUUUAAAGGCACAGAUACCUCAACUAUUGUUAGCCCCUGUAAAAUAUUUUUUAAAAAAACUAUUUUACAUAAAUGAUCAUGGGGCUCUUCUAUAUAAGGCAUUCUCUGUGCCAAUAAUCACAGUAGUAUAGAAAGUGGGACUAGAAAUGAAUCAAACUAAUACUAUUUAUGCACAAAAAAUUGUCACUGUAUUAUCCUUAAAACACUUAUAUUUGAGUUAACUAAAAUGCAUAACCAAGACACUGCUAUUGUAGCUGUAAUAUUUAAUGAAUUUUCCAGGUAAUUAAGCCAAAAGUACUUUUGGGGGAGACAGGAAUUGUUGUGAUAGUUAAAAGAAGAGGCAUUGCAAACAUUUUAUUGGUAACACUGUUUACACAUACAGCUCCUCUCCAUGUCUCUCUAAAACCAACAAGUCACUCAAAACAGGGAGCCAGGUGGGUUAUCAAUGGCUAGAACCCAUUGGAAAUCAUUUUUAUACCUCCCAACAUAAAAGUGAAAAGAGAAAUAACUCCUUAAGAUCACAAUGAUAAUUUUGUUUUCUGUAAGAGAAGGAUGGAAUUGAAACAUUUAAAAGUCAAUUUGUGAAAAUGAAAAAGCAAAAGCUUUCCUCAUUUUUUUGGUAAACUUUGUAUAUACAUAAGAGCACUUCCAAAAGUUCAUGUAAAAUGAAUAUUAUGAAAAAAUGUAUGUUAUGGAUUUCAAAUUUUCUGUUGCAAAAUAAACUUAUUCUAUAAAUUCCAUUUUUCCAUGAACUUAUGGAAGUGUGCUCACAAGUAAUUAGUGAAUUGUAGAUGUUGCUUUAAAAUGUCAAUUUUUCCUUCUAAAAAGAAAACACUAUGGGGCCAGUGCUGUGGUAUAGUUGGCUAAAUGUCUGCCUGUGGCACCAGUUUCCCAUAAAGACAUUGGUUCGUGUCCGGCUGCUCCACUUCUAAUCCAGCUCCCUGCUAAUGCACCUGGGAAAGCAGUAGAAGUUGGCACAAGUGUUUGGGCCCCUGAACCCAUGUAACAGACCCAGAAGAAAGCUCCUUGCUUUGGACAGGCCCUGCACCCGUUAUUGCGACAUCCGUUUGGGGAGUGAACCAGUGGAUGGAAGAUCUCUCUGUGUCUCCCUCUCUGUCUCUAACUCUGCCUCUCAAAUAAAUAAAUAAAUCUUUUUUUUUAAAAAAAGACUAAUAAUUUACAAAA